GCAUUGUAAGAACACAUAGGAUUAUGCCGGAAUCGUUUAAACAAUUAUGCUAAAACUUUAUGCAUGAUUAACUAUCAGAUCUGAAAGGUAAACACUUUACUCCGAUUAAUCUCCGAAUAUUCAUCGAAUGGAUUCUGGAGAUAACUCCGUGAGGAGCCCCAAAGGAGGGUAAAACCUCGGAGAAUCGGACCUAGACCCUGACUCCAAAAUAAAAGAUUAAUAUAGAAUUAAUACCUUUUAUG
RNAcentral lists this long non-coding RNA (242 nucleotides) under Phoenix dactylifera (date palm). RNAcentral describes it as "long non-coding RNA (PDAC_LNC022707)". Lineage: Eukaryota; Viridiplantae; Streptophyta; Magnoliopsida; Arecales; Arecaceae. The record is from RNAcentral.